RNAcentral lists this ribosomal RNA (825 nucleotides) under Odontotermes formosanus. RNAcentral describes it as "partial 16S ribosomal RNA". The stretch from base 418 to 618 matches the Rfam family "Bacterial large subunit ribosomal RNA", at positions 1705 to 2024 of the family's 2925-position model. Lineage: Eukaryota; Metazoa; Arthropoda; Insecta; Blattodea; Termitidae. The record is from RNAcentral.
UUCCCGAUUUUAAAGGAGUUAAUGGUUUAUGUUGGUUGGUGUUUCAUCAUCAUCAAUAAUGGGUUGUUGGUAGUGAUAUGUUAUUCGUCUUUGUUGGUUUCUGGUUUUUCAAGAAAUGAAUUUAAUUCAUGCGUUUUGUUUAAAGUUUAUUGUUGGUUUAUUGCUUUUUAUUUGAUGUUAAGGUUAGGGGGGACUAGCUCCUUAUUUUAUUUUUAUAACUUUGUGUUUGGUUAUUUAGCUUUGUGGAUUUUAUGGUGAUUUUCAAUUUGAUUAUGUUAAAAUUUUAUUUGUUCUUUUUUUUAUUUAUUUGUGGUUUGGUCUAUUUAUUGGAAUGUUUUCUUUAUUUUGUUUAUGGUUGGUAAUUAUAAUGGAAUUAGUAAAUUUUAUUUUUAUAAUGUUUUUUGGUGUUAAUUUCUUUUAAGGAAUUAGGCAAAUAUUUUUAUGUCCGCCUGUUUAACAAAAACAUCUUUUCUUGUUAGUCUCUGAAGUAUGGCCUGCCCGCUGACGUAUAUUUGAGUUGAAGGGCCGCGGUAUUUUGACCGUGCAAAGGUAGCAUAGUCAUUAGUUCUUUAAUUGUGAUCUGGUAUGAAUGGCUUGACGAGACAUGGGCUGUCUUGAUUAUGGAUUUAUUGUUGAAUUUGGAGUUUAAGUUAAAAUUCUUAGAUGUUUUUAUGGGACGAGAAGACCCUAUAGAGUUUGACAUUUGAUUGUGUAUUUCUCAUUGUUUGUUUUGAAUUUUUGCAUAUCUUUUGUUUUGUUGGGGUGAUGGGAGGAAAUUAUUUAACUCCUCUUUUAUGUGGUAUAUUGAUUUAUAUUUAUUUUGAU